GCGGCGCGCAGUGUGUCGUCAUACCGAAACGAGGAAAAUUCGUAACGAAAUCAAGUCAUCGUCAUGCAGUACCGAAUACUAAGUGUAAUAAUAUGAUAGUAUGUAUUACAUGAAUACGUAAGUUGCACUGCUGCGAAGAGAGCUGUUCGGCAUACACAGACUAGAAUUUUGCGGACGACAUGAAUUCACGGUUGCUUGCUAUGGAUAUAGGACACGGGUAUACCUACAACUGAUAUUAUGGAUUCGUGCGAGUCGUAGGAUCAUACUGAAUACCGUGAAAAAGCCAGCGUACAAACACAGACAAUACGUAUCUACUUAACGUCAAGCCUGAUAAUAUUCACUCCGACAACACGAGACCGGUGAACGCAAAAUGAACUGAAAUUCUCGACGUUAUGCUCUGGGGUCAGGGAGAUGAUAAAACAAAUAGUGUGCUGACGUCCUCUUGAACCACGUCUCUGGGCUAUUGUAAAACAUAUUAUAUAAUGUGACAUUUUUGAAAAUUUUACGAGACCGAAAACAGUCACUGAACAAUUUGAACCCCGUGAUCAGCUGGCGAUCGGUA
Myzus persicae (green peach aphid) is the source of this 562-nucleotide long non-coding RNA. RefSeq lists it as uncharacterized. The transcript has 2 exons. The record is from RefSeq and is a predicted model, not a curated record. Lineage: Eukaryota; Metazoa; Arthropoda; Insecta; Hemiptera; Aphididae.